AUGAACGCUGGCGGCAUGCCUAACACAUGCAAGUCGAACGAGAUCUUCGGAUCUAGUGGCGCACGGGUGCGUAACGCGUGGGAAUCUACCCUUGGGUUCGGAAUAACAGCGAGAAAUUGCUGCUAAUACCGGAUGAUGACGUAAGUCCAAAGAUUUAUCGCCCAGGGAUGAGCCCGCGUAGGAUUAGGUAGUUGGUGUGGUAAAGGCGCACCAAGCCUACGAUCCUUAGCUGGUCUGAGAGGAUGAUCAGCCACACUGGGACUGAGACACGGCCCAGACUCCUACGGGAGGCAGCAGUGGGGAAUAUUGGACAAUGGGCGAAAGCCUGAUCCAGCAAUGCCGCGUGAGUGAUGAAGGCCUUAGGGUUGUAAAGCUCUUUUACCCGGGAUGAUAAUGACAGUACCGGGAGAAUAAGCUCCGGCUAACUCCGU
This 431-nucleotide ribosomal RNA is filed under the name uncultured bacterium. RNAcentral's name for it is "bacterial SSU rRNA". It matches the Rfam family "Bacterial small subunit ribosomal RNA", at positions 29 to 506 of the family's 1533-position model. The record is from RNAcentral.